This 854-nucleotide ribosomal RNA is filed under the name uncultured Planctomycetota bacterium. Its description in RNAcentral is "bacterial SSU rRNA". It matches the Rfam family "Bacterial small subunit ribosomal RNA", at positions 58 to 922 of the family's 1533-position model. Lineage: Bacteria; Pseudomonadati; Planctomycetota. The record is from RNAcentral.
CAAGUCGAACGAGAACCACCGGGCAACUGGUGGGGAAAGUGGCGAAAGGGGCAGUAAUGUAUGGGUAACCUACCCCGGGGACCGGCAUAGCCAUUCUAACGAGUGGGUAAUACCGGGCGAUGUAACGAGGGGGCAUCUUCUUGUUACCAGAUGAAUUUCGCCCUGGGAGGGGCUCAUAUCGUAUUAGCUUGUUGGCGAGGUAACGGCUCACCAAGGCUAAGAUGCGUAGCGGGUGUGAGAGCACGACCCGCGCCACUGGCACUGAGACACUGGCCAGACUCCUACGGGAGGCUGCAGUCGAGGAUCUUCGGCAAUGGGCGCAAGCCUGACCGAGCGACGCCGCGUGUGCGAUGAAGGCCUUCGGGUUGUAAAGCACUGUCGAGGGGGAGGAAGCCGCAAGGUUGACCUAUCCCUGGAGGGAGCACGGGCUAAGUUCGUGCCAGCAGCCGCGGUAAGACGAACCGUGCGAACGUUGUUCGGAAUCACUGGGCUUAAAGGGCGCGUAGGCGGUUCAUCAAGUCUGGGGUGAAAUCUUUCGGCUUAACCGGAAAAGUGCCUGGGAUACUGAUGAACUGGAGGGAGAUAGGGGCAGCUGGAACUUCCGGUGGAGCGGUGAAAUGCGUUGAUAUCGGAAGGAACUCCGGUGGCGAAAGCGAGCUGCUGGAUCUCUUCUGACGCUGAGGCGCGAAAGCUAGGGGAGCAAACGGGAUUAGAUACCCCGGUAGUCCUGGCCCUAAACGAUGGGUACUAGGUUGUGGACUUAACAUGGGUUCACAGCCGAAGCAAAAGUGUUUAGUACCCCGCCUGGGGAGUAUGGUCGCAAGGCUGAAACUCAAAGGAAUUGACGGGGGCUC